Long non-coding RNA from Oreochromis aureus, 1098 nucleotides. The record is from Ensembl. NCBI's taxonomy places the organism in Eukaryota, Metazoa, Chordata, Actinopteri, Cichliformes, Cichlidae.
AUGCUUGUCGCCUGACACUGACAUCUGAGCACUGAAGACGUCCUGCAUCAUCCUCUGCUUUGUUUGAGACGGUGCUAUCGAUGCUACAGGCUCUGCAGACUCCAGGACCAAGAAGCUACAAAGCUUCAGAGUCUUCAGAAUCGUUCAUGUGCUUGUUUUUUUUCUGUUCCAGUUUUCAAAGACUUUGUUAAUCAGAUUUAGAGAGAGCAACACUUCUCAUAGUCACAUAGCUGCAUUUCAGGAUUUUCAGAGUGUUCCCACUGGGUGAAACUGAUUUUUGGGGUAAUCUGAAUAGCACGAACCUGUUUGUUAAUCAUUCAUUUUGUACAUGUACUGACCAAGUGUGCAAUCAGUCAAAACAGGACAGCAAACAUUGUAAGGAGAUGCCAAAAGCAUCUUGAGAAUACAAAUAUCUCUUAGGUCCCAUUCCAGUGCUCAUCGUUUCGAAAUCUCAAAAUCUUCUGCAGCGCAUCCAAGUCUUUAAUCACAGCUCUGAUUAUCAGAGCAGCCUGAGAUGAAGCAUUUCCUCCUUUUUUUGAUCUCCAGACAAUUUUCUUGUUGAGGCUGAUUUUCCAUCAGUAGCUUGAUUAUCAAACAGCUUUUUGCUGCUAUAGUGAUGAAGUAUAAGACAAAUUCAGGAUCAAAAAUAGAUCUGAAAAUAUAGAACUUCCUUGUAACACACUUGCAGUGCCUUCAAGACCCACCAGGGGGCUGCAGCUCACACAGUGGGAGUUGCUGAUCUAUGUAAAUGGGCCUAUGUUUACCUGUGUAAAUUGGACUAAUGGUUUAAGAGUAAUGAUUUGUCUUUUUCACCAACAUCUGAGGACUGACUGUUAUGCAGUGUAACACUGGAGGCCAUUUCACUACAGGCAGCAUCUGCCAAUCACUGGUGAAUGUCCUGUAGCCCCUCCCAUAGAGGAAAGGUGUGUGUGUGAAGUAGGUUUCAGAUCAGGCAGCAGCACUGCAUCAGUAGAAGUAGGGCACUGCUGAUUAAAGUGGACUGUGCUGUAUAUUAAAGAUGUUUUGAACGUGGGGCACCUGAGUUGCGUUUGGGACACAGUGAUAGUUUUGUGUUCACAUUAAUAAACACAUUGAAAG